UAUUACGAGCUUAAGCUUAAAACCCAAAGGACUUGACGGUGUCCCACCCCCCUAGAGGAGCCUGUUCUAUAAUCGAUACUCCCCGCUAAACCUCACCAUUUUUUGCCUCUCAGCCUGUAUACCUCCGUCGCAAGCUUACCCUGUGAACGCCAUCAGUAAGCCUAAUGGCCCUUUCGCCAAUACGUCAGGUCAAGGUGCAGCUCAUAAAAUGGGAAGCGAUGGGCUACAAUUUCUAAGUUAGAACAAAGACUGCAUGAAACACAGUCAUGAAGGCGGAUUUAGUAGU
Molecule: ribosomal RNA, 286 nt
Filed under: Strongylopus grayii (Gray's stream frog)
Lineage: Eukaryota; Metazoa; Chordata; Amphibia; Anura; Pyxicephalidae
Description: partial 12S ribosomal RNA
Rfam family: Bacterial small subunit ribosomal RNA
Source: RNAcentral